UGUAACGCGUGGAUAACCUACCUUAAGGACUGGGAUAACACCGGGAAACUGGUGCUAAUACCGGAUAAGCUCAUUGGGGCACAUGCUCUGAUGAGGAAAGGAGAAAUCCGCUUUAAGAUGGAUCCGCGUCCCAUUAGCUAGUUGGCGGUGUAACGGACCACCAAGGCAUCGAUGGGUAGCCGGCCUGAGAGGGUGGACGGCCACACUGGAACUGAGACACGGUCCAGACUCCUACGGGAGGCAGCAGUGGGGAAUCUUCCGCAAUGGGCGAAAGCCUGACGGAGCAACGCCGCGUGAAUGAUGAAGGCCUUCGGAUUGUAAAAUUCUGUCUUCAGGGAAGAAAAAAAUGACGGUACCUGAGGAGGAAGCCCCGGCUAACUACGUGCCAGCAGCCGCGGUAAUACGUAGGGGGCGAGCGUUGUCCGGAAUUACUGGGCGUAAAGGGCGCGUAGGCGGUUUCUUAAGUCAGAGGUGAAAACUAUGGGCUCAACCCAUAGCCUGCCUUUGAAACUGGGAGACUUGAGGACAGGAGGGGGGAGUGGAAUUCCCAGUGUAGCGGUGAAAUGCGUAGAUAUUGGGAGGAACACCAGUGGCGAAGGCGGCUCUCUGGCCUGUAACUGACGCUGAGGCGCGAAAGCGUG
This 641-nucleotide ribosomal RNA is filed under the name uncultured Peptococcaceae bacterium. Its description in RNAcentral is "bacterial SSU rRNA". It matches the Rfam family "Bacterial small subunit ribosomal RNA", at positions 109 to 763 of the family's 1533-position model. The record is from RNAcentral. Lineage: Bacteria; Bacillati; Bacillota; Clostridia; Eubacteriales; Peptococcaceae.